RNAcentral lists this ribosomal RNA (395 nucleotides) under Sugiyamaella castrensis. Its description in RNAcentral is "partial small subunit ribosomal RNA". It matches the Rfam family "Bacterial small subunit ribosomal RNA", at positions 505 to 950 of the family's 1533-position model. The record is from RNAcentral. Lineage: Eukaryota; Fungi; Ascomycota; Dipodascomycetes; Dipodascales; Trichomonascaceae.
GUGCCAGCCGUUGCGGUUAGACAUAUAGGACAAGUGGUACACAUUAAUGGUAUAAAGGGUCAGUAGUAUGGAAUAUAUAAAAUAUUCUAGAAUAUUAUUAUUUAAAUUAUAAUGAAGUACAUGAGUAAGGGUUAAAUCUAUAGAUACAUGUAUGACAACCACUAUAUGAAGGUAUUUAAUUAUAAUAAUAUUGACAUUGAGUGACGAAACCUAUAGUAUCAAAUUGGAUUAGUCAACCAAUUAGUUAUAGGUGUAAACAAUGUAUGUUAACAAAAAAAAUAUUUAUUUUUUUGUAAAGUUAAUAUGAGAACAUACCACCUGAGGAGUACUACACAGUGUAGAAACUCAAAACAAUAGACCGUUUAGGUUAUUAACAGUGGAUCAUGUUAUUUAAU